AUCCAGCUGACGAGUCACAGGUAGGACGAAACACGUGUCCUGGAU
Schistosoma curassoni is the source of this 45-nucleotide non-coding RNA. NCBI's taxonomy places the organism in Eukaryota, Metazoa, Platyhelminthes, Trematoda, Strigeidida, Schistosomatidae. The record is from Rfam.